AUACGGAGGGUGCAAGCGUUAUUCGGAAUCACUGGGCGUAAAGGGUGCGUAGGCGGUUUGAUAAGUCUGAUGUGAAAUCCUAUGGCUCAACCAUAGAACUGCAUUGGAAACUGUCAGACUAGGAUACUGAAGGGGCAGAUGGAAUUAGUGGUGUAGGGGUAAAAUCCGUAGAUAUCACUAGGAAUACCGAAAGCGAAAGCGAUCUGCUGGGAAGUUAUUGACGCUGAGGCACGAAAGCGUGGGGAGCAAACGGGAUUAGAAACCCUAGUAGUCC
This 274-nucleotide ribosomal RNA is filed under the name uncultured bacterium. RNAcentral's name for it is "partial 16S ribosomal RNA". It matches the Rfam family "Bacterial small subunit ribosomal RNA", at positions 523 to 796 of the family's 1533-position model. The record is from RNAcentral.